GACGAACGCUGGCGGCGUGCUUAACACAUGCAAGUCGAACGAGGGAAUUGAAAGCUUGCUUUUGAAACCCGAGUGGCAAACGGGUGAGUAACGCGUAGGCAACCUGCCGUUGAGAUGGGGACAACAUCCCGAAAGGGGUGCUAAUACCGAAUGUUGUGAGAGCUUCGCAUGGAGCUUUCACUAAAGAUGACCUCUCCUUGGAAGUUAUCGCUCAACGAUGGGCCUGCGUCUGAUUAGCUAGUUGGUGGGGCAACGGCCUACCAAGGCGACGAUCAGUAGCCGGUCUGAGAGGAUGAACGGCCACAUUGGAACUGAGACACGGUCCAGACUCCUACGGGAGGCAGCAGUGGGGAAUCUUCCGCAAUGGGCGAAAGCCUGACCCAGCAAUGCCGCGUGAAGGA
RNAcentral lists this ribosomal RNA (401 nucleotides) under uncultured bacterium. Its description in RNAcentral is "bacterial SSU rRNA". It matches the Rfam family "Bacterial small subunit ribosomal RNA", at positions 28 to 408 of the family's 1533-position model. The record is from RNAcentral.